CCCUCGUUGGCCUAUACUUUUGCGUGUCAACACAAGCUAUCUCUGUCUUUUCGUUCGUCAAGCAUGUUCUUGUCUCGCUCUUUUCACACUUUGCCGAAGUUCGACGUGCUCCGCGUUGUGUAUUUACACACCGAGCUCAUGGAAUAUCUUUGUGUGUGUAGAAAACCAUUUUGACAGUACCGUCAUUCUUCGGCCAUCAAAUUUUGUUUUGCUUUCGAAGUGCAAGGUUUGGUUAGUUUAUUGCAUAGAACAGGGAGAUAAAAUGGCUAUAAAAGGGUAAACAUGGGUUCGAAUCAAAAGAGCACGCGUUUUUCAAGUGACUGGAUAGUUUAGUUAGGGAUAUGGAGUGAAAAAAACACUUGGAAAUAAGGAGGAUACUUGACCAGCGUGCCUCCGGAACAAAGUGGUGCUGAAACUGUUUCAUGGCUGCUGAGAGUCUGGUACAUCCGAAACAAUUUAUUGGCACGGACCGCAGAAAACCACGCUAACACAGUGUACGAAGUACCAUGCAGAGAGGACAACAUUUUACACCACGUAAACCAACACAUUUGCCCGCAUUUUCCAGCAAGUGAAGUGUAAGCGAGAAAUUUGUGAAUAAAAUUAUAAUAAUAAAAAAAAAAACAUUUCAUUUUAUGUCCUUUUUAAUUGAUGACAACUUUCCACUAUGCAUAGCCAAUAACGCACCCAUACCUACGCGGUACUACACACUAACACAUGCGCAAAAAAGUUCUUAACGAAGAAUUUGACCGCUGGGCAACCAUGGAUGUGUCAAACUGUUCAAAAUCAACACAAAAAACCGUUAACAACUCUCAUUGCGGUUAGCUUGAGAAAAGAUUGUGUAUUAAAUAUUUGAUUAAAACAUUAAAAUGAUUUUCUCCUGCUACGUAAGUGAUACAACGGACGAUCUGGCAUAACAAAUACGACUCCUUUGAAUUAUUUCUGAUCCUUUGCCACUUAUCACACGAGCGCGUGUUAAGUAUGCGAAAUAUUUGUGC
Long non-coding RNA from Anopheles funestus (African malaria mosquito), 995 nucleotides. RefSeq lists it as uncharacterized. NCBI's taxonomy places the organism in Eukaryota, Metazoa, Arthropoda, Insecta, Diptera, Culicidae. The record is from RefSeq and is a predicted model, not a curated record. The transcript has 3 exons.